UUUUUUUUUUUUUUUUUUUUUUAAAUUCCUUAGCCCCAAGCACAGGGUCUAGCACAGAAAAAGGGCUCAAUAAGAUCUGUGAUCCUUAAUAAUUACUAACAGUUACAGACUGCUUACUAUAUUCCAGGCAUUAUGCUAACUUACCACUCUAAAUGCAUCACUUCUUGACUAACCCAAAGGCACAGAUCAUAUGCUUUAGGGCCUGUACUAUCCCAGAACCUGCGCUCUUAACCACUAGGCAAUACUACCUCUCAAUUUUAUCAAAUAAGUAAACAAACCAACUCACACUUGGAGAAAGCCUUGAACUCAAAAGUCAUAAUUAGAGCUAAGGCCUCUUAAGGCAUCUUAAAGAUGAUCCUUGUGUGAUUAAUGUUUUCACCUAGAUAAAAAGUGUAUCAGAAGGCUCUCCCUAUUGGUAAGAUUUCACAGUCUCAACGACAUGACCCAAAACUCAGCAUCCAAACCAGGGCAUUUUCAAGAGUGAAAGGAAGCACUAUUAGCAAUUAAGCCAUGACAACAGGUAUGAUGAGCUGAGACAGUCCGGGCAAACCAGGCCUUCACUAAAACGUUCACCAAAACGCUCACACCAUCGCUCCACAUAGUGGAGCCCACGCAAAUGUUUGUGGCCAUGGCUGUUUGAGUUAUAAGGUAAAAUCAAAGACAACAUAUAAUUUGCAAGUAGUGCCCCUGAAGUGCAGGUAUUGGGACAAGAGGUUUCUUUGCCUGCCUCUAAACACACCUGAAUACAUUCUCCCUCAUUUAAAUCUUGGGUCAAGUGACUUGACUAAAAAUCUUUUCCCAGAAACAACUGGAAAAAGGUCCCUCUUAAUAAAAUCACCAAGAGAUUCCAAUCAUCCCCCUUUUGAGGCCAGGGGUCUUUAGUCUGCUUCCUUUCCAUUGUCUUUCCUUCUGACCUUAAAAGACAGUCCAGGUAACAGCACAUAUGAAUGUAGUGUUUUAAGAUGCUUUUCCAGGGACGCCUGGGUGGCUCAGUCGGUUGAGUGUCCAACUUCGGCUCAGGUCAUGAUCUCACGGUCUGUGGGUUCGAGCCCCGGGUCGGGCUCUGUACUGACGGCUCAGAGCCUGGAGCCUGCUUCGGAUGCUGUGUCUCCCUCUCUCUCACUUUGUCUCACUCUGUCUCUCAAAUAUAAAUGUAAAAAAAAAAAAAUGCUCUUCUAGGAAAGGGAGUGGUGGCCAACUCAGACAUCUGAGCUUGGACUCGUACAGUCUCCUUUCACCCUGGGUCGCUCAGCCUUAGACGCUCGCAGCAGUCCUACUAUUAAAAAAGCAAACCAAAACAGAGCAACGAAGCAUUUACACAGCAUGCAUACCUAAUCAUGAAACCUAAAUACUCAUUACUGAGGAUUCAGAGACAGCUAUUAGACUGCUAGUCAGUAGCCUGUACAUUUAUGAAUUACAUUUCUGCUACGGCUGAUUCUGCUGUGUAAUGAAGUGGGUUCAUUAUUUUUGCUUCAAUUAUAUCGAAUCUAGAUGCGUGGUAGGGCUUAAUGCAAUUUCAAGGCUCCUAAGAAGAACCACUCAAUUGUUUGUAUGGUGACUGUCACGGAACUGAAACAGCUCAUUGUGUAAAACGGGACCCACCGUUCAUCAUUUUAGAAGCAUUUUUGAGAGCCAUUUUUAUACUAGGUGAUUUUCAUCACUUUCAGUCAGUGUGAAGUAUUAAAAUAUCCUGUCGCUAUCAGAAGAAGAAAUAACGCACUUGUAAUGUUCACAAAUAUCACCAAUUGAAGCUCUCACAACUUAAACGUUAAAGGAAAAAAGUCAAGAGUCAAAUGCAAGAGAAAACAGUAAAGGGAGUCGGGGAGUAAUUCUUGAGUUUUCAAAAAGCUAGUAGGAAAUUCUAAAUCCAUCUGGAAUAGGGCUGCACGUAUUAAUGAAAAAAAAUCACUUAUUUUUGCUUUUGGCUAGAAUUCUAUCAAGUCAGUAUGAAGUAGCACUGGUACUAUUCCUACCGUUAUUUGGAAUACAUUCUAUUUAUCAUUUUGUUCGAUUUCAUUGUUCAACAACUUGUGGUCAUGACCAGAGACACUGAUUUGACACCCCACCUGCAGGAGGCAACGUGCUGUAUGGAUGUUGGCAAUUAUAAACAAUCAGGUAAACAAUCGUUUGUUAAUAAAGAUUACUUACUAUAAAGUUGUUUAUAACAACCUUCCGAAAGUAGAAACUGCAGUAGAAAAAUCAUAAUCUUAGGGCAUAAAAUUUGGGAACGAUUGCUCUACAGUCACUUUUAAAAUGUUCUCAGCUUUCAGGGUUCUUGGGUGGCUCAGUUGGUUAAGCUUCCGACUCUUGGUUUUGGUCCAGGUCAUGAUCUCACAGUUUAGUGAGUUUGAGCCCCGCACUGGGCUCUGAGCUGGCAGUGCAGAGCCGGCUUGGGAUUCUCUCUCUCUCCCUCUCUCUCUGCCCCAUCCCCUACUCAUGUCUCUCUCAAAAUAAAUAAAUAGACUUAAAAAAAUUUUUUUAAUGUUCUCAGCUUUCAAGCAUGCUUAAACAAGCUCUUGUAUACACUUCCUUUAGUUGAACCAAGUGUGACACCAAAAUUAUAUCUUUAUUUUCAUGUGAAUUAGGGGAAAAAAUAAGACCUCAAACUGAAUUCAUAGACCCCACUGCUUAGCAAAAUCUAAGUUAAAAAUAAAGUGGGGACAGAUUAUGCGAACAAAAAACAGAUCUGGGAUCCACUGUAAAGAGGCACAAGGGAACUUCUCAGGGAGAUGCAAAUGUCCUGUAUCUUGAUGAUGCUGAUGGUUCCAUCUCGGUGUAUAACUGCCAAAACUCAAACUGUAGCAUUAAAGUGGGUAAUUUUACUGCAUGUAAACUGUCCUUCAAUUUAAAAAAGGUAGGUGAGUGGAUUUAAACUCAACUUAAAAGAAAUAGUAAGCAAAUAAUAGUGUGAGUGGUACAGUGCAGCGGCAAAAUUCAAAAAUGGCAUAUGAAUAACUGCUAUUUGGGAAACACAGAGCAGCCCCCAUAAAGAGGGAAAAAGGCAGUCUAACAUAUUUUAAAACGUAUACAUCACAACAUUCAUCAAGUAAACGAUACUGUAGUUUCAAUAAUUUUUUCAGGGGAGGAACAUUCAUAAUCAGAGUUAUUAACAAAGAAAAACUGAGGCACACGAGAGCACCAGCUGCUCAUACUGGACAGAAGACUGUGGCGUCGUCAAAUGCCGAUUUACAACACACGCGUUAGACAUAAAAAUCACCACGUUUCUCCAACAGAUCACAGCGAUCAGAGAAACCUUCAAAAUGCUGUGUUUCUUACAUACCAACUACUGUGGCCUUCCACAUCUUCCUAAACAAUGUUAAUCCCAGAGAGUGAUAAUCGUGCAACUGUCAGCUCUCUCAAAAUCAUUGAUUUUCCUCCCCGGUGAAAACAGAAACAGUGCCUGCUACCCAGCACCAGUUCCUCAAGGACCCCAAAUGCAACACAUCUCUGAGAAGCACCCAGAACACAGCAGCACCUGCUCCUCUCAGGUCAAUGUCAAGAGAAAAUGACAGGGAACUUCUGGGAAGUUGAUAGAGUGCCCCGCAAACCUCAAUUUCUACAUCUGUAAAUGCUUGUGCCUGAUUUUUAAAGAAAAGCUUUUCAUUAAGAACUAGGCACUACCGUCUGUCUUCUAAGAACUGGAUACCCCUGGAAAAUCUUAUUUUUAACUAUCUCGGACUCUCUGCUUGAGUGUGUGUGGGAGCACAUGAAGAUACACUGUAAUUACUGGCUCAUGAAGUAGCAUAAUAUUCCUGGUUGAAGAAGGACAUGCAAAUAUUGCAUAGGGCAUUAAUACUUAAUCUUACCAAUUCAUCAAGAAGAGAAGCAGAAGAGAACAUAUGGGAAGAAGAAGGGGCAAAAAUACACGACCGAGGGGUAAAAACCUGGUGGAGACAAGGAGGCAGCCUUAGUAACUUCAGAUCAAACCUGUCACAGAAGUAUGCAAUAUGAGGGUUAAAACACAGAAACAAAAACAGAGCAUUCAGAUCACUCGCCGGAAGAUCUAUGCUGGGAAUGGUAGGGGUCCAAGUCUAAGUUUCAAAAACUGUAUUCCCAGAGACCACUACUCUGAAGAAUCAAUUCACUCAGACUUUGUAUCAUGAAUAAAUACUUCCUAACAACUACACAGAUGGAAGAACACCGCAUACCAGCCAAGCUCUAUUUCUGUAACGUUUACUAGUUUAUCUGGAAUCACACACUUAUUCUAGAACACAAGAAAACUGCUUAAAGAAAAGCAUGCUAUAGUCACUGGAAAAUGUAAAUCUUUCACUGAGAUAUGCUUCUUAUUGGGAGUCUUUCCUAGGACUUGUUGGGGACGGAAUCAGAAAGAUAAAGGUACCCAUUAUCCUCAUCAAUGUCACUCUGUCCUACACUGAAUUGGAAGUUUGUAGAAUUAAUGUUGCUGGCCUUAAGGAACCCAUCAAUUCUGAAGCCUUUGUAUCUAUGUGUCUUUGGACUUUCCAGGUUGAACUGUGUGAAACUGCCAACAUUCAACUGGUUUUUAAAUAUAUUAAUUAAUUUAAUUUAUUUGAGAGAGGGCGCAAGUGAGCAAGGAUUGGGGGGAGAGAGAGAGAAUCCCAUGAGGGCAGAGAUAAAGAGGGAGGGAAAGAGGGAGGAGGGAUGGAGAGAAGAGGAGAGAGAGAGAGAGAGAGAGAGAGGGAGGGAGGGGAAGGGAGAGGGAGGGAGAGAGAGAAAGAGAGAGGGAGGGAGGGGGAGGGAGGGGGAGAGAGAAGAGGGGGCUCACCCAAAGUGGGGCUCACCCUAAGCAGGGCAUGAGCUCACCUGACGCAGGACUCAAACUCACCCACUGUGAGAUCAUGACCUGAGCUCAAGUCAGAUGCUUAACUAAAUGAGCCACCCAGGUGCCCCCCUUUCUUUUUUUUUUUUUUUUUAAUGUUUAUUUAUUUAGUUUGAGUGAGAGAGAGCACAAGCAGGGGAGGGGUAGGGAGAGGGGGAGAGAAAGAAUCCUAACUCUGCCAGUGCAGAGCCGAACGUGGGGCUUGAUCUCAUGAACCAUGAGGUCAUGACCUGACUGAGGCACCCAGUCACUCCUCAACUGUUUUUCAUGUACAAAAUUACAUUCAUAGGACUGCACCUACUAUAAUGUCCGGUCUCACUAGGCUCCUGAGAAGCUCACUGUAGCUAAAUGUUCAGGUGUCAUGGAGUUGCAUUUUAAAGUGAAGGCUUUAUUUUGCUGUUUCUGCUUUUCUGCAUAUAGGAAGAAGAUUGUGUUGGAAAAGCAUACUCUUCCCUCAGUCAUUUGAAACUCAGAAUGCAUUUUCCACAGAAAUAAAAUGUGGAUGGGAUCCCAGGCUAGACCUCAAGGACUAUCCAACUUUAAGGCAACUAAAUACUUAACAUUUAAGAAAGCAAAAACGACUGCAAGAACAAAAAUUAAAUAAUAAAUUAAAAAUAAUAUUUUAAUUUUGAAUAUUGCUUAGAAAAGAGCGAUUUCAGAUUGUGGACAUUUUCAAAGUGAUUGGAAGCAUAUUUUUGAUGUCUAACUUCAAAAUAUGAAGCAGAUUUCCUUUCCCUUAAUUUAUGUUCUACCAGGAGUAAUAUGAGGCACAAUCAUAUAAUAAAGUAAGCAUCCACAUUUUAUUUACAUUUUUAAAACACUCUAGAAAAGCCAGGAUUCUGAACUAAAUAUUCUACCUAAAGAAUCUCUUCCACAGAAAUCUUUCUUGGUCACUCAAGUUCAUGCAGUCCCCAUUUUUUCCUUGAUACUUUUUAACCCCUCCUUGUUAUACAAGGACUUGUGUAAACAUGUAUGCCCCUACCAGAACAUAACCUCUUGCGAGGAUCGUGUCUUAUUUACCUUGUGUUUCUCUCAGCACUGGGCUCUGACCAUAGUUGGCCUUCAAUAAAAAAUUAUAAAUCAAACCAGGUUACUGCUUUAGUAAAAACAGCUAAAAUUGUACUCAAGCAACUCCUAUCUAUAAUUAUAACUCAUCAUCCUAGAUAUGGUGGAGCCCACACUGGAAUGGGGACCCUCUACAGCUCUGCACUGACGACCUCCACGAUCCUAAAUAAAUCCAAAAUCACCGGGACCGUAAAUUUUUAGGAUCAGGAACUCUGUACCAUGUUUUCCCUGACACCCAACGUUUGAUAAUCAGUUACCACUUUAGCCAUCAUGCACCUGUAUGCAUAACCCUCACAUGAUGAUACAGGGAUCAGCUUUAAAUGAGUACUAAAAUUACAGGCUAUCCUCCUCUCCUGUCGCCUUUUCUAUUUAAGAUCUACAAAAUCAGACCACAGAAAAUGGUUAUUUCAAACGUGGCUAACAGGGAUUCCUUAGUGAGAUUUUAAAAU
Leopardus geoffroyi (Geoffroy's cat) is the source of this 6312-nucleotide long non-coding RNA. RefSeq lists it as uncharacterized. NCBI's taxonomy places the organism in Eukaryota, Metazoa, Chordata, Mammalia, Carnivora, Felidae. The transcript is spliced from 2 exons. The record is from RefSeq and is a predicted model, not a curated record.